RNAcentral lists this non-coding RNA (45 nucleotides) under Schistosoma mattheei. The record is from RNAcentral. Lineage: Eukaryota; Metazoa; Platyhelminthes; Trematoda; Strigeidida; Schistosomatidae.
AUCCAGUUGACGGGUCCCAAAUAGGAUGGAGCAUGCGUCCUGGAU